RNAcentral lists this ribosomal RNA (545 nucleotides) under uncultured Roseateles sp. RNAcentral describes it as "bacterial SSU rRNA". It matches the Rfam family "Bacterial small subunit ribosomal RNA", at positions 341 to 879 of the family's 1533-position model. Lineage: Bacteria; Pseudomonadati; Pseudomonadota; Betaproteobacteria; Burkholderiales; Sphaerotilaceae. The record is from RNAcentral.
ACGGGAGGCAGCAGUGGGGAAUUUUGGACAAUGGGCGCAAGCCUGAUCCAGCCAUGCCGCGUGCGGGAAGAAGGCCUUCGGGUUGUAAACCGCUUUUGUCAGGGAAGAAAAGGUUCUGGUUAAUACCUGGGACUCAUGACGGUACCUGAAGAAUAAGCACCGGCUAACUACGUGCCAGCAGCCGCGGUAAUACGUAGGGUGCAAGCGUUAAUCGGAAUUACUGGGCGUAAAGCGUGCGCAGGCGGUUAUGCAAGACAGAGGUGAAAUCCCCGGGCUCAACCUGGGAACUGCCUUUGUGACUGCAUGGCUAGAGUACGGUAGAGGGGGAUGGAAUUCCGCGUGUAGCAGUGAAAUGCGUAGAUAUGCGGAGGAACACCGAUGGCGAAGGCAAUCCCCUGGACCUGUACUGACGCUCAUGCACGAAAGCGUGGGGAGCAAACAGGAUUAGAUACCCUGGUAGUCCACGCCCUAAACGAUGUCAACUGGUUGUUGGGAGGGUUUCUUCUCAGUAACGUAGCUAACGCGUGAAGUUGACCGCCUGGGGA